This is a long non-coding RNA of Strigops habroptila (Kakapo), 3957 nucleotides long. NCBI's taxonomy places the organism in Eukaryota, Metazoa, Chordata, Aves, Psittaciformes, Psittacidae. The record is from Ensembl.
UCUUUUUUUUUUUUUUUUGGGGGGGGUGCUUUGCUCUGCAAUAACCAACACUUAAAAAAGCACAAGUUCCAACUGGGAGUGACUUAAGACAUGGUGUUUGUUAAGCCACAGGCAAAUUUAAGUUAUUGGGGAUCUCAACUAGCCUUCCUUCCAUCAUCCUAUUUCAAUUCUCACCGCGGCGCAAAUGUUCUGCUUACUGCUGUGUGAAGCUAUGACCACCAUGUCCACAUGAUGGACGAAGCAUGGGGAAGCAGUUAUUGCUCAUAAAGCUCAGACAAGUGCUGCUGAAGGUGGUGCUUCUUAGGUGCCUGUGGCCAGGGCUGCUGCAGCCCCUCAUGCCAGUGCCAGGAAGCCCAGCAGAUGGAGGCUGGGUGUUCUGGUGCACAAAUACAGCAAAUACGGUGCAGCAGCCUCUGUGAGGCUGCUGAAGAAAUGGGGCUCAGAGAGAGGUAAAAAAACAUCUUCAGUCGCCUUGCCUUGGGUGCAGAGCUGUCUCAGGCAGCACUUGGCACAGGCACACACUGCACUCAGCCAGCCUGAAACCAGCGGCUGCUCUCAGCUGGGUGAGGGAAAGAAUCCAGAGAGGCUUAAGCUCACAUAUAUGUUGAUAAGGGAGCACCAGGACUGGAAGUACCAGGGCAGACUGUGACUGCAUGGCAGAUCUUAAUUUCUCUGUCCAUAGCAUGUAUCUAUGUAUCAGCCAUGAUUUUAAACCAUUGAGCAGUGGAGAAUUCGCUGCUUCUUUUGGGAGGUUUUUUCUUACAGCUACUUACUGCGAUAACUUGUCCGAGCAGCUGAACAUUGUGGGCCUUUUUCCUGUUGGAAUUGCUCAAAUGUCAGCUCUGUCUCAUUCAUAAUUUUCAGGUCUUUCUCUUCCUGAUUAAGGACCCUGUAUUCUAAUAGUAUUCUCUCCUUGCUUCUACUUGCACACUGUGGUCGGUGUCAGUGUUUGCUAAGUAGAAGAGCCAAGUUCUAAUUCAUUUCUCUUUCACUCUCUAGUUUUAAACUUAAAAAAAAAAAAAAAAAAAAAAAAAAAAAAAAAAAGGAGAGAGGAAGACCUUCAGUGAAAAGAUGAAUUCUGCUUUGGACUCAUGAUGUCCAAACUUGUCUCUCCAUCCUGGAUAUGGGUGCUACAAGGCUGAGAAACCACUGCCUGCCAAGCUCUCCAAUGGUGCCCGAGAUCAGCAUGUUCUUUAAUAGUGUUGGGGUUAUUUUUGUUACUGAUUUUGUAUCCAUGGCACAGGUACAUAAGGACUGUCUCAUCAAAAAUGCUGGAAAUCUCAGACCGUCGCUGCUUCUGGCCAGCCCCCAGCUGUGUGCAUUUUCAUGCAAAAACAGCCCAACUUGCUUGUCCCAGCCUGGCAGCCAGGAGCAGGAACCUGAGAGGGGCAAGCGCUGGAAGAGACAACAGCAGCAUUUGCAGAAAUUGUCUCGUCUCAAGCUGUCCCUGUCUGCAAAGUUGCAAAAUGCACACGUUGAUCUGUAUCAGUUCAAGAUACUGUGUGUGUGUGAACUGCCACAGCACUCAGGCAAUGGCUUUUUUAAGGCACAAGUGCCUCCAUGGUGUAGGUGUGAGAGGGGAAGAAUCUGUCCAGGACCUUGUUGGAUGCUUUUACUCAUGACCUGUAAGCCAGAGGCAGGAGUCUGCCGAUAAGUUACGGUGAAGCUGGCACCAGUGAAGGUGGCGACCUGCCUGCUACACAGGAAGAAUGGGGCACCUCAGGAACCAGAGUGAUAAAAAUGAGAAUAGAUUUAAUAGUAGGAGGUUGGACAUGUAAGGGCUGUCACCUUGUGCUCUGAACUGGGGCUCAACACUUGGAAAUAAGAGCAGGUGAACAAGAGUGUGUGAGUCCAUCACAUGCUACCAACCAGCCCUUGGUCUGCUGUGGGUACACAGCCAUGACCUGUGGGUCAUUGUGUUUGCUGCAGCAGGAGGGAAUUCUUAGUUCCACUGCAGGAGGGACAGUGAGUUCUGGAGAGCUGCAAAUGGUGCUUUCCCCAUGCUGGCAAAUCCAGGCUGGAUUAGGCAUGGAGAUACAGGGCUACAGUACAGCCAUAGGAAUCCUGCAGAGGAAUGACCCCAGUUUUUCACCAUGGUCUGGAGCAAUGUAGCAGACAGUGGACCCAGCCACAUGACAAGAAAUGCCAGAUUUAAACCUCAGACAUCCUGUACACAAUGAAAGAGGAAGACAUGGUGGGAAACUCUGCCUUUCUCUCCUGGGCUGCAUAGGAAUGAGCCUUGAAAGAAUCUCCAUCUUGCUUCAGCUCCUUUCCUCUCUCUCACUUCCACUGAGGUGGUUUCUCAUGGUAACUAAUCACUUGUCAAGUAUUUCCCAGUGCAGUGACACCUCUGCUCAGUGCCGACCAGACCAGAAACACUGUACAGGGGGCAGAGGGGGUCCGAUGCCAUCAGUGCUGGGAAGGAAGCUGGUUUCUGUCAUUCCCGCUGGGAGAAGGUUCCCCUGACCAGUGUGAUGGCGAUGCACCAGUCGGAGAUCCAGCUCAGUGCUGGUGCAGUCCCUAAAGCAGGGUGCCUUAUGUCACCACGCUGCACUUCUGUGCAGCUCCAGCGUUUUGGGGCAUUGUGUCACCCUUCCUCCUGUAGUGGGCCAGAUGUGCUCCAUGCCCACCCGGGGAAGCCAGCCACUCCUGCAGGAUGUGGCUUUCCUCACAGAGCCACUGCAUCCCAUUUGCAUUCGGGUGAGCAGACCAGAUAGCCAGAGCACAUCGCCAUGGGAGGUAAGGUCCUGAACCUUGGGCAUGGUCCAGCCCCAGUUCCAGGUGAUGGGUGGACUGAGGGAGUUGGCAAUUACACAUGGUUAACUUGUUCUGAAAAGGACUGGAUUCCUUUGUUUGAGACAUCACCAACAGACACAGCCCAGACCACCCAAGAGCCCUGUGUGAUGCUACUAGGUUUGCCUCCAAGUAACGUGCCUAUAGGGACCCCUGUGAGGGUCCUACCAUGAGUGAGGUCCUGUCCCACCACAGACAGCAGUCCCGCCGUCCCGGCUCUCCCUUACCUCCAUGUCCAAGAGCAGUGGAUGGCAUCCAGUGCUUGGAAAGAAGGAAAAACUAGGAAUGUGCCCAGCUGCUGUCCAGUUGUCUUACCUGCAUGAGGAAGAGCCUUUGUGUCCUCAAGGCUUGCGAGCGGAGGAGAGGCUUUUAACCCUGCGAGGGCCCUUGGGGAGAGGCUUUCACAGGUAGCUUGUGUUCAGAGGCAGGAGCAAGCAGCAGAGGAGCAUCCCCCCAGUCAGCCUGCACAAGUGGUGCUUGCACCUACAGCAUAAAGCCCUCCUGGCAUAGGACCCACCUUGAUCUCCUGUUCUGCUCUGGGCUGUGCAAAAUGCAAACUGUGAGAGAAACAGUGUUGUUUUCGCAUAAUUGGGGCUGGGGCUUUGUAAUAUUAAGGCUUUACAAUAUUAGAGCUUUAAGAUCAAUAUUAAGGCUUUGCAAUAUUAAGAUUUUUCAGUACUGGGGCUGGGGCUAAGUUACUAAAUGAACGAAACAAAGGGUUUGAGAUACCAUAACCUAGAAAGACAUGCUCUGUAGUUAAAGACAAUAUCAUGUCUGGAUGAAAGAUACACUUUGUGGUUAAAAAGAAUACUAUCUUUGUACCAUCUAUGAAACUAAGCAGGUGCAGGCUGGUUAAACAGUAAGUUGGGGUGCCACAUCUGCCAGAGAGUUAUGAAAUCGAACCAUAAAAGGACAUAAAUAAAUAAGAGGAAGGGGCAUACAAAAUCAAGUAAGGGGAAGUGUAACCAGAGGUGGGACAGUCGGCACAUAGAUUAUACGUGUCGGAUAGGCUGUAAACCUUGGAGUACCCAAUCAAUGGGGAAACAAGGGAGGGAACUUGUGAACGGGAUAGGAAAUAUAAAUCAUAGUUCUGCUUUUGCUGUGUGUGCCUACUUGCCAGGACACCUGUUUUUGCACAAAUGUUAAUAAAUAGCUGCUUCACUG